This 91-nucleotide ribosomal RNA is filed under the name Bacillota bacterium. Its description in RNAcentral is "Firmicutes bacterium (anaerobic digester metagenome) partial 23S ribosomal RNA". It matches the Rfam family "Bacterial large subunit ribosomal RNA", at positions 2836 to 2925 of the family's 2925-position model. The record is from RNAcentral. Lineage: Bacteria; Bacillati; Bacillota.
CCUUGCAGAUGACGAGGUUGAUAGGCCAGAGGUGUAAGUGCAGUAAUGCAUUGAGCUGACUGGUACUAAUCGGUCGAGGGCUUGACCACAA